RNAcentral lists this ribosomal RNA (252 nucleotides) under uncultured bacterium. RNAcentral describes it as "partial 16S ribosomal RNA". It matches the Rfam family "Bacterial small subunit ribosomal RNA", at positions 524 to 776 of the family's 1533-position model. The record is from RNAcentral.
UACGUAGGGUGCAAGCGUUGUCCGGAAUUAUUGGGCGUAAAGAGCUCGUAGGCGGUUUGUCGCGUCUGCUGUGAAAACUCGGGGCUUAACCCCGGGCCUGCAGUGGGUACGGGCAGACUAGAGUGCGGUAGGGGAGACUGGAAUUCCUGGUGUAGCGGUGAAAUGCGCAGAUAUCGGGAGGAACACCUGUGGCGAAGGCGGCCCCCUGGUUGGAUACUGACGCUGAGGCGCGAAAGCGUGGGAGCAAACAGG